Coturnix japonica (Japanese quail) is the source of this 3107-nucleotide non-coding RNA. Lineage: Eukaryota; Metazoa; Chordata; Aves; Galliformes; Phasianidae. The record is from RefSeq and is a predicted model, not a curated record.
GGCAACAGUGCUGGGGCAAGCAAUGAGCACAGCACUGAUCCUGCCUGGGUCUUUCAGGACUCUGUUCCUCUAGGAGCUGGUAGGGGGACCAGCUGGGUGGGCUCAGGCAGACACAGUUCCUGCCCUGCUUGCAGCUGCUGCCCUAGAGCUGGUGCUUCAGAACCUCGCUCUUGCCUUCUGGGUGCUGUGGGAGCAGCACGGUUACAUUUCAUCCUAAUGCCCUUCAGCCCUGAGAGUGUUUCCACAGCUGCUACUUCUGGACCCCACCUCAACAGCAGCACCAUCACCUGCACUAAUCUCCCUGGGGUUCUGCCGAUGGGUGACUCACCUGCGGAGCCACUGUCACAGAAUCACUUUAUCAGGAGCGAGCUGACUGACAGAGCAGGAUUUUUUCAUGCUCCUCUAUAGAUGAUGAGAGGAACCACAGCCUUCCCGCUCGUCGCCCAUCCCUUCCGCAUUGCGCUGGGUUGUUUUCAAACAGACAUACUGGUAUCCCCAAGCCUUGAUUGAGUGGGACCCUGCCAGGAGGAGACAGCUGGGAGGGCAGAGCUGUUGAGGUAUAGUGCUUGGGGAUGAGCACCUGUGCACCUUGCACUGGGCACCCAUGUCCCUGGGGCAUCCCUAUCCCCCUGGGUUCCCAGUGCCAUGAGCUCAGCCUCUGCUGGGGCUGGCUCCUGCCCGCAGUGGGAAGGCAGAGCCAACUGCAUUGCCCAGCCCAGGGAGGGGAGGUCAGGCUGGGGCAUGAGGGUGAUUUCUGCCAGGGUUCUCUGCUUUCUCCACUGGGAACCAGUCUAGCCAGCGGAUGAGGAGCGGUGUCACUGGGCAAGCAGGGGACAUACAGGACACACCAGGCUCUGGGAGUUGCUCCCAGCCCAGCCAGCCGUGAGCAGCUCCUGCAGGAGGGCAGCAGGCACAGGGAGAUGGACCCUGAGACAGGACAAGGUCUCAUCAGUGUGUUCGGGUUAAUCUUGGGCAUUGGGCUGGCCUUGCUGAUCCUGAUCAUUUUUGGCUACGCCAUUUUCGUCUGCUACCAGCAGGGCUGGGGCUGGUGCCGUGAGUAUGGGCAGAGCAGGGGACAAGCAGCUGCAGGGCAGGGAGGGGAUAAAGGAAGAACGUUGGGAGCACGAAUGGCAUUUGCUGGUCCCCAAAAUCAGCAUGUAGGGUGGCUGGAGGUGCUCAGGGGGAAUGCACAGAGAUGUCCCAGUGCUGCUGGUCAUCCAGGUGGUUGUCCUGUCCCUUCCCUGUGCCACCUCACAGACCUCUGCAGGCACCACGGGGCCCUCUGACAGCCUCUCCUUCCCUCCUUCUCCUCCCAGGGCCUGACUUCAUCUUCAACCUCUACUCUGGCCGCAGCAGGCUGAGGUCAGUGGCAGUGGAGCUGGCACCUCCGUUCAGCAUCAGUGCCUCCGUGAGCCAGGCAGGGAGCGGCUACGUGCGCUUCCAUGAGCAGGGGCUGUGAGCAGCAGAGCAUGGUCCUGAUCCUUGUGCAUGGGGUCCCAGCCUCAUGGAGGUCCUGCAAAGCCUGGAGCAUCAUGCACGGGGCCUUCCUGUGGUGCAACCACAGACAGAACAAAGCUGGCCAUGGGGAAAUUUGUCUAUUCUGGGUUCUUUAAAUAACACCCCCAGAUACGCAGGAUUUCUACCAAAUUUGGAGCAGUGCUGUUUCUGUUUUAUAUCGAGCUUCUCCAUUCUCUCUCUGCUCCUGCGUUUCCUUCUCUGCCCCCCUUGGCCUUGGGCAGGGCUGGAAGAGAGCUGCUGCUGGGCAUGGGCUCAGCCUCCUCUUGAAGCGCAGGAAAAAGGGAACUGCUUCAUCCCAAGCACCCACCAUGCAGAGCAAAGGAAUCCUACGUUCCCCACUGAUCUGACAUCCCAGUGCUUAGGACUCCAGUUUGCCCAGCAGACCUUGGGGCAGGAGCAUGAGGAACCAGCCCAAAAGUGUGGCAAGGAGCCACAGAAAUGGAUGGCUGACUGUGCAAGAGGGGAAAACGCUGUAAGGAAAUGAGAACACAUCAGACUUCCCUUAUUCAAGGAACUGUGCCAAUAUGGAAAUUUCUCCAGUCUGUACUGACUGUGCAAGAGAACACUGCAGAAAUCCCCACUGGCUUUCUGGUGUGGGUCUCAGCAGCUCAGUGCUGGGCCAUUGGGCACAGCAGGACAGGUCCCCAUGGGGCUGAGCUGUAUGGGACAGCACUGUGCCCAGUGUGGCUCUUCCCUUCCCUGGGCUGCCUUCUGCUGCCUCCAUCCCCUCAAUGCUUCACACCCCCGGGCACGGGGCUCUGUCGAUGGGGAUUUGUUGGAAAUGCAUUGGAAAUGUUGGAGCAUCACUGGAAAUGCAUUCAGGUAUUGGAGCUGGGGAGGAAAGGGUCUUUAAAGGAGCAGUCCUGCCUCUGGCUCCCAGAGUAAGAGAUGUGAUGCUACACACUGCAUGGAGAGGGAGGGGGAGGAAAGAGAGCUUUGCAGAAGGAAUGGAAGUGGAACAUCCUCAGCGUGUUGAGCUGUGACUUCACCAAGGAAAAUGUGAGCGCCUGUAGUUCCCCCGAGCCAAAGGGGCUGUCCGUGCUCUCCGCUUUAGAAGCCAAAGCGUGUGGUUUUCUUGCAAAGCCAUCUGUUUCAAUGAAAGGAGAGGGGAGGGGGGAAUGUGGUGUCCCUGAGCCACAGCUGCUGCCUGCUGGAGCCUCCCACGGUGAGUGGGAACCGGCAGCACCCGGCACAGCCCCGGGGAUGGCCACAGAGCUUGACGUCAGGAGCGCAGAAACCUCACGCUUCUUUCUGAUGACUCUGACUUUCAGAGGAAGUCCAACCCCCAAAAUGAGAGAGAGAGAGAGAAAGAGAAAGGGGGGGGGGGGGAAAGCGAGCAAAAAAACCCCAACUUCAAGGAAAAAAGAAUGUGGAAGUGGAAGGAGGAGGGAUGGGGGCACCCGCGGGGGCUGCAAAGCGCAUCUGAACCCCACAGUGUUGUUGUAUGCUGUGGGUGAAUGCCUGUAUUUGAGAACAGAAAUCACAACCCAGCCUUAGAUGAGGAGAAAUGACGAGCGGAGCGAAGAAAUGAUGCUUCAUCCCGUUCUGUAUUUACAAAUUAAAUAGAAUAAAUAGUAUCUGUACAUGAA